ACUCCUGCGGGAGGCAGCAGUGGGGAAUUUUGGACAAUGGGCGAAAGCCUGAUCCAGCAAUGCCGCGUGUGUGAAGAAGGCCUUCGGGUUGUAAAGCACUUUUGUCCGGAAACAAAUCCUUGGCUCUAAUACAGUCGGGGGAUGACGGUACCGGAAGAAUAAGCACCGGCUAACUACGUGCCAGCAGCCGCGGUAAUACGUAGGGUGCGAGCGUUAAUCGGAAUUACUGGGCGUAAAGCGUGCGCAGGCGGUUUGCUAAGACCGAUGUGAAAUCCCCGGGCUCAACCUGGGAACUGCAUUGGGGACUGGCAGGCUAGAGUAUGGCAGAGGGGGGUAGAAUUCCACGUGUAGCAGUGAAAUGCGUAGAGAUGUGGAGGAAUACCGAUGGCGAAGGCAGCCCCCUGGGCCAAUACUGACGCUCAGGCACGAAAGCGUGGGGAGCAAACAGGAUUAGAAACCCGAGUAGUCCCA
RNAcentral lists this ribosomal RNA (471 nucleotides) under uncultured organism. Its description in RNAcentral is "partial 16S ribosomal RNA". It matches the Rfam family "Bacterial small subunit ribosomal RNA", at positions 335 to 797 of the family's 1533-position model. The record is from RNAcentral.